This 636-nucleotide ribosomal RNA is filed under the name uncultured archaeon. RNAcentral describes it as "bacterial SSU rRNA". It matches the Rfam family "Bacterial small subunit ribosomal RNA", at positions 405 to 1025 of the family's 1533-position model. The record is from RNAcentral.
AGUAAGAAGGCCUUCGGGUUGACAGCUCUUUUGUCAGGGAAGAAACAGCAGCUCUAACACUGUCUGAGAAUGACGGCUACCUGAAGAAUAAGCACCGGCUAACUACGUGCCAGACAGCCGCGGCUAAUACGUUAGCGGUGCGUAUGCGUUAAUCGGCAAUUACUGGGCUGUAAAGCGUGCGCAGGCGGUUAUACAAGACAAGCGUGAAAUCCCGGGCUUAACCUGAGAAUGGCGUCUGUGACUGUAUAGCUAGAGUGUGUCAGAGGGGGGUGGAAUUCCACGUGUAGCAGUGAAAUGCGUAGAUAUGUGGAGGAACACCAAUGGCGAAGGCAGCCCCCUGUGGAUAACACUGACGCUCAUGCACGAAAGCGUGGGGAGCAAACAGGAUUAGAUACCCUGGUAGUCCACGCCCUAAACGAUGCUGACUAGUCGUUGGGACUCUACAUUCUCAGUAACGUAGCUAACGCGUGAAGUCAGCCGCCUGCGGAGUACGGUCGCAAGAUUACAACUCAAAGGACUCGACGGGGACCCGCACAAGCGGUGGAUGAUGUGGAUUAAUUCGAUGCAACGCGAAAAGCCUUAGCUACCCUUGACAUGUCACUAACGACGUAGAGAUGACUUAGGUGCCCGUACGGG